AACGAACGCUGGCGGCGUGCCUAACACAUGCAAGUCGAACGGAGUGGCGAACGGGUGAGUAACACGUGGGUGCUCUGCCUUGCACUCAGGGAUAAGCUUGGGAAAGUGGGUCCAAUACCGGAUAGUGCAAGAUGAGCUCGCGGCUAAAUAGCUUGUUGGUGGGGUAAUGGCCUACCAAGGCGUCGGCGGUUAGCCGGCCUGAGUGGGUGUACGGCCACACUGGGACUGAGGUAGGGACCAGAGUCGUACGGGGGGCAGCAGUGGGGAAUAGUGAACAAUUGGCGGAGGCCGGAUGCGACGACGCCGCGUGGGGGAUGAAGGCCUUCGUGUUGUAAACUCCUUUCGACAGGGACGCGGUACCUGUAUAAGAAGCACCGGCUAACUACGUGCCAGCAGCCGCGGUAAUUC
Molecule: ribosomal RNA, 408 nt
Filed under: uncultured bacterium
Lineage: Bacteria
Description: partial 16S ribosomal RNA
Rfam family: Bacterial small subunit ribosomal RNA
Source: RNAcentral